UUAUCAUGCAAAGGAAGAUUCUUUCAUCUUUUCACUCCACAUGUUCCCUAUGAUCCACUUUUCAUUCCAUUGUCUCCCAAAGCUUCCAUUUUCUCCCAUUUGCCAAGCUUGAACCAUCCAUCCCACCUAAGGUAGCCACCAUUCACAUUUUUCUUUCAUUUUGUUUCUUUCUCCCUUUUUUUUAUUUUAUUUUAGCCUUUAAACCUCCUCAUUUUCACCACUAAUUUCUAUUCUUUUCACCACCACUUGAUAUCAUUCUCCAUCACCAAACCACCACUUCACCAUCGUCGUUCAUCGCCGUAGCACCGCCACACCACCAUUGUCAUUAGUCACCAUUUUUCACCAAUUUUUAUCUUCUCUUAACUUCUUUAGUGAUAAUUAAUCUAUUCUUUUUU
This 395-nucleotide long non-coding RNA is filed under the name Gossypium raimondii (Peruvian cotton). RNAcentral's name for it is "long non-coding RNA (GRAI_LNC006164)". The record is from RNAcentral. Lineage: Eukaryota; Viridiplantae; Streptophyta; Magnoliopsida; Malvales; Malvaceae.